GCCCCCAUCGUCUAGGGGACUAGGACGUAGGCCUUUCAAGCCUAAGACCGGAGUUCGAAUCUCCGUGGGGGCA
RNAcentral lists this transfer RNA (73 nucleotides) under Chloroflexota bacterium. Its description in RNAcentral is "Chloroflexi bacterium (marine metagenome) tRNA-Glu". It matches the Rfam family "tRNA". From Rfam's summary of the family: Transfer RNA (tRNA) molecules are approximately 80 nucleotides in length. Their secondary structure includes four short double-helical elements and three loops (D, anti-codon, and T loops). The record is from RNAcentral. Lineage: Bacteria; Bacillati; Chloroflexota.